Molecule: ribosomal RNA, 311 nt
Filed under: uncultured Eggerthella sp.
Lineage: Bacteria; Bacillati; Actinomycetota; Coriobacteriia; Eggerthellales; Eggerthellaceae
Description: bacterial SSU rRNA
Rfam family: Bacterial small subunit ribosomal RNA
Source: RNAcentral
AUGAACGCUGGCGGCGUGCCUAACACAUGCAAGUCGAACGAUGAAACCGCCCUCGGGCGGACAUGAAGUGGCGAACGGGUGAGUAACACGUGACCAACCUGCCCCUUGCUCCGGGACAACCUUGGGAAACCGAGGCUAAUACCGGAUACUCCUCCGCCCCCUCCUGGGGGGCCCGGGAAAGCCCAGACGGCAAGGGAUGGGGUCGCGGCCCAUUAGGUAGUAGGCGGGGUAACGGCCCACCUAGCCCGCGAUGGGUAGCCGGGUUGAGAGACCGACCGGCCACAUUGGGACUGAGACACGGUCCAGACUCC